This 891-nucleotide ribosomal RNA is filed under the name uncultured Candidatus Poseidoniales archaeon. Its description in RNAcentral is "bacterial SSU rRNA". It matches the Rfam family "Archaeal small subunit ribosomal RNA", at positions 20 to 918 of the family's 1478-position model. The record is from RNAcentral. Lineage: Archaea; Methanobacteriati; Thermoplasmatota; Candidatus Poseidoniia; Candidatus Poseidoniales.
GACCAGACUGCUGUUGGAGUUCGACUAAGCCAUGCAAGUCUUCCGGAAGGAGGCGAAAGGCUGAGUAACACGUAGGUAACCUACCUUAUGGAGGGGCAUACCCUCGGGAAACUGAGGAUAAUUCCCCAUAGGAUUUGGUGACUGGAAUGUCCCAAAACCCAAAGCUUCGGCGCCAUAAGAUGGGCCUGCGGCCUAUCAGGUUGUUGGCGGGGUAAUGGCCCACCAAGCCUUUGACGGGUAGGGGCAGUGAGAGCUGAAGCCCCCAGACGGGCACUGAGAUACUGGCCCGAGCCUUACGGGGUGCAGCAGGCGCGAAACCUUUACAAUGCACGCAAGUGUGAUAAGGGAACUCCAAGUGCCAUUGCUUUUUGCGAUGGCUUUUUUUGAGUGUAAAUAGCUCUAAGAAUAAGAGCUGGGUAAGACAGGUGCCAGCAGCCGCGGUAAUACCUGCAGCUCAAGUGGUCUGGAUUUUUAUUGGGUCUAAAGCGUUUGUAGCCGGACUCGCAAGUCUUCUGUGAAAUCUGACGGCUUAACCGUCAGGCGUGCAGGGGAAACUACAAGUCUAGGGACCGGGAAGGGCCAAAGAUACUCUAGGGGUAGGGGGUGAAAUCCAAUAAUCCUUAGGGGAUCGCCAGUGGCGAAGGCGUUUGGCUAGAACGGGUCCGACGGUGAGGGACGAAAGCUAGGGGAGCGAACGGGAUUAGAUACCCCGGUAGUCCUAGCCGUAAAUGAUGUGGACUAGGUGUUGCAUUCCCCUUGUGGGAAUGCAGUGCCGAAGGGAAGCCGUUAAGUUCACCACCUGGGAAGUACGGUCGCAAGGCCGAAACUUAAAGGAAUUGACGGGGGAGCACAACAAGGGGGUGGAGUCUGCGGUUUAAUUGGAUUCAACGC